This is a long non-coding RNA of Raphanus sativus (radish), 626 nucleotides long. RefSeq lists it as uncharacterized. The record is from RefSeq and is a predicted model, not a curated record. Lineage: Eukaryota; Viridiplantae; Streptophyta; Magnoliopsida; Brassicales; Brassicaceae. The transcript has 3 exons.
AAGAAAGACUUCAGCGACAAGAUCGGACGUAAAGCACGGAAGUACUGAGUUCGAACCCGACCGUAAACAGAAGGGAUUUUAAAAGCUCUUCCUUCUGUCUCAGAAACUCAGGUCUCAUCAUCUUGAAGGAGAAGAAGAGUUGUCAUGUCUCUCCACUACCUAUCGCUGAUGUGCGCACCAGCUUCUCUAACCCGCGCAUGCGUCGGCGGUAACUGGAAGCGCCAGAUCACUCGCUAAACUGGUGAAGAGAUUUAGCAGUUCAAGAUUAAGAGAAUGAGCGCGUCAUCAUGUGUGGGGGAGUACAGAGUAACAGAGCACAUGAGAUUCUACUUCGAUUCUAAUGACGUAACAACGGCUACUUCUAGAAUAAAUAAUUUAAGUAAUUCGUCCGAAAAUACUGAUGUCUAUCCAAAUGUCAUCUGUCUCGUUAAAUAUUUUCAGACUUGUUUAUACAUGUUGUAAUCAUAAUACUAUAGUAUCAGUUAAGCGAAUAAGCAGACGACAAGCAUGACUUGUUCGUAAGAAGCAGUGUCUAUUAAAUGUACAAAAGGCAUUAAUCAUUCUGGUUCUUUUCCGUUUUUUUUUUCUUUGUAUUCUUAGCUAUUCGGAAUUUGUAUGAAUCAGUG